GAUUUCUGGUCUGACAUGCCUGGCCCGCCGGGGUCACCCGCGUGAGUGCCGGUGCGCGUCUACCAUCCUUCUAGAAAACGAUUCUGCCAUUCACUUGGUUGGGAUCGCGAUCUAGAUCUUUUACUUUGAAAAAAUUAGAGUGUUUAAAGCAGGCUUUUGCUAUGAAUACAUUAGCAUGGAAUAAUAAUCUAGGACUUCGGUUCUAUUUUGUUGGUUUCUAUAACUGAAGUAAUGAUUGAUAGGGAUAGUUGGGGGUGCUAGUAUUGGCCGGCCAGAGGUGAAAUUCUUGGAUUCGGUCAAGACUAACUUAUGCGAAAGCAUU
RNAcentral lists this ribosomal RNA (322 nucleotides) under Rhogostoma sp. Its description in RNAcentral is "SSU rRNA". The stretch from base 105 to 322 matches the Rfam family "Eukaryotic small subunit ribosomal RNA", at positions 736 to 955 of the family's 1831-position model. The record is from RNAcentral. Lineage: Eukaryota; Cercozoa; Thecofilosea; Cryomonadida; Rhogostomidae.